CUGGCUCAGGAUGAACGCUAGCGGCAGGCUAACACAUGCAAGUCGAGGGGCAGCGGGAUGUAGCAAUACAUUGCCGGCGACCGGCGGAUGGGUGCGUAACGCGUAUGCAACCUACCUUAUACAGGGGAAUAACCUUUCGAAAGGGAGACUAACACCCCAUAGUAUUGAUUUAAGGCAUCUUAGAUUAAUUAAAUAUUUAUAGGUAUAAGAUGGGCAUGCGUAUGAUUAGCUAGUUGGUAAGGUAACGGCUUACCAAGGCGACGAUCAUUAGGGGUUCUGAGAGGAAGGUCCCCCACACUGGUACUGAGACACGGACCAGACUCCUACGGGAGGCAGCAGUGAGGAAUAUUGGUCAAUGGGCGCAAGCCUGAACCAGCCAUGCCGCGUGCAAGGAAGACGGCCUUAUGGGUUGUAAACUGCUUUUACAUAAGACUAACCGUAUACUUGCGAAUAUACCUGAAUGUAUUAUGAGAAUAAGGAUCGGCUAACUCCGUGCCAGCCGCCGC
This 506-nucleotide ribosomal RNA is filed under the name uncultured bacterium. RNAcentral's name for it is "bacterial SSU rRNA". It matches the Rfam family "Bacterial small subunit ribosomal RNA", at positions 19 to 518 of the family's 1533-position model. The record is from RNAcentral.